UCAGCUCCUCACAGGAUCUCUCUCUCUCUGUUGCUGAGAAAACCUUUCUAUUUCUCUAUUAUUUUCUUGGCAACCAAACAGAGUGCUUGACUUCUGUUGAUUUUGCUUUGUUUCAAAUUCACCAAGCAGGAUGGCAUAUUGUCUUAGAGCAUCCGACAAAGAUGAUGUUUUAGAUGCCAGUAGAACGUUGAGAAGGUGUGAAGUUGGUGAUGAUCUUGAUGAAGGCACGUAGCAAAUUAUUUAAUAAACCUUGAGAAGCAAAGGGCUUGGGCAAUUGUGACCUUUGAACAGAAAACUCCUGUGAUACUUGUUUCAUUGAGGGGCGGGAUUUGGG
This is a long non-coding RNA of Quercus lobata, 334 nucleotides long. RefSeq lists it as uncharacterized. The record is from RefSeq and is a predicted model, not a curated record. NCBI's taxonomy places the organism in Eukaryota, Viridiplantae, Streptophyta, Magnoliopsida, Fagales, Fagaceae. The transcript has 3 exons.